RNAcentral lists this ribosomal RNA (467 nucleotides) under uncultured bacterium. RNAcentral describes it as "partial 16S ribosomal RNA". It matches the Rfam family "Bacterial small subunit ribosomal RNA", at positions 28 to 507 of the family's 1533-position model. The record is from RNAcentral.
GACGAACGCUGGCGGCGUGCUUAACACAUGCAAGUCGAACGAUGAAGCCCAGCUUGCUGGGUGGAAGAGUGGCGAACGGGUGAGUAACACGUGAGUAACCUGCCCUGAACUCUGGGAUAAGCACUGGAAACGGUGUCUAAUACUGGAUACGACCUAUCACCGCAUGGUGUGUGGGUGGAAAGAUUUAUCGGUUCUGGAUGGACUCGCGGCCUAUCAGCUAGAUGGUGAGGUCAUGGCUCACCAUGGCGACGACGGGUAGCCGGCCUGAGAGGGUGACCGGCCACACUGGGACUGAGACACGGCCCAGACUCCUACGGGAGGCAGCAGUGGGGAAUAUUGCACAAUGGGCGCAAGCCUGAUGCAGCAACGCCGCGUGAGGGAUGACGGCCUUCGGGUUGUAAACCUCUUUUAGUAGGGAAGAAGCGAAAGUGACGGUACCUGCAGAAAAAGCACCGGCUAACUACGUG